This 1394-nucleotide ribosomal RNA is filed under the name uncultured bacterium. Its description in RNAcentral is "16S ribosomal RNA". It matches the Rfam family "Bacterial small subunit ribosomal RNA". The record is from RNAcentral.
UUAGAGUUUGAUCCUGGCUCAGGACGAACUCUAGCUACAGGCUUAACACAUGCAAGUCGAGGGGCAGCACUAGGUAGCAAUACUGAGGUGGCGACCGGCGCACGGGUGCGUAACGCGUAUCCAACCUUCCCGUUACUCUUGGAUAGCCUUCCGAAAGGGAGAUUAAUACAGGAUGGUAUUCAAAUUCCGCAUGUUAUUUGAAUUAAAGAUUUAUCGGUAACGGAUGGGGAUGCGUGACAUUAGAUAGUAGGCGGGGUAACGGCCCACCUAGUCUACGAUGUCUAGGGGUUCUGAGAGGAAGGUCCCCCACACUGGAACUGAGACACGGUCCAGACUCCUACGGGAGGCAGCAGUGAGGAAUAUUGGUCAAUGGUCGGAAGACUGAACCAGCCAAGUAGCGUGAAGGAUGAAGGUUCUAUGGAUUGUAAACUUCUUUUAUACGGGAAUAAAGCCCGCUACGUGUAGCGGUUUGUAUGUACCGUAUGAAUAAGCAUCGGCUAACUCCGUGCCAGCAGCCGCGGUAAUACGGAGGAUGCGAGCGUUAUCCGGAUUUAUUGGGUUUAAAGGGAGCGUAGACGGGAUGUUAAGUCAGUUGUGAAAGGCUGCGGCUCAACCGCAGCACUGCAGUUGAUACUGGCAGGCUUGAAUGCGGAUGCCGUGGGAGGAAUGUGUGGUGUAGCGGUGAAAUGCAUAGAUAUCACACAGAACACCGAUUGCGAAGGCAUCUCACGAAUCCGCUAUUGACGCUGAUGCACGAAAGCGUGGGGAUCAAACAGGAUUAGAUACCCUGGUAGUCCACGCUGUAAACGAUGAUGACUAACCGUCGGCGAUACACAGUCGGUGGCCAAGCGAAAGCGAUAAGUCAUCCACCUGGGGAGUACGACCGCAAGGUUGAAACUCAAAGGAAUUGACGGGGGCCCGCACAAGCGGAGGAACAUGUGGUUUAAUUCGAUGAUACGCGAGGGACCUUACCCGGGCUCGAACGGCAGCUGAAUCAUUCAGAGAUGGAUGAGUCUUCGGACAGUUGUCGAGGUGCUGCAUGGUUGUCGUCAGCUCGUGCCGUGAGGUGUCAGGUUAAGUCCUAUAACGAGCGCAACCCCUACACAUAGUUACCAACACGUUAAGGUGGGGACUCUAUGUGGACUGCCGGCGCAAGCUGAGAGGAAGGUGGGGAUGACGUCAAAUCAGCACGGCCCUUACGUCUAGGGCGACACACGUGCUACAAUGGCAGGUACAGAGGGCAGCUACACAGCGAUGUGAUGCGAAUCUCGAAAGCCUGUCUCAGUUCGGAUUGGAGUCUGCAACCCGACUCCAUGAAGUUGGAUUCGCUAGUAAUCGCAGAUCAGCCAUGCUGCGGUGAAUACGUUCCCGGGCCUUGCACACACCGCCCGUCA